RNAcentral lists this ribosomal RNA (825 nucleotides) under Salmonella enterica subsp. enterica serovar Bareilly. Its description in RNAcentral is "partial 23S ribosomal RNA". It matches the Rfam family "Bacterial large subunit ribosomal RNA", at positions 1 to 867 of the family's 2925-position model. The record is from RNAcentral. Lineage: Bacteria; Pseudomonadati; Pseudomonadota; Gammaproteobacteria; Enterobacterales; Enterobacteriaceae.
GUUAAGCGACUAAGCGUACACGGUGGAUGCCCUGGCAGUCAGAGGCGAUGAAGGGCGUGCUAAUCUGCGAUAAGCGCCGGUAAGGUGAUAUGAACCGUUAUAACCGGCGAUACCCGAAUGGGGAAACCCAGUGUGAUUCGUCACACUAUCAUUAACUGAAUCCAUAGGUUAAUGAGGCGAACCGGGGGAACUGAAACAUCUAAGUACCCCGAGGAAAAGAAAUCAACCGAGAUUCCCCCAGUAGCGGCGAGCGAACGGGGAGGAGCCCAGAGCCUGAAUCAGCAUGUGUGUUAGUGGAAGCGUCUGGAAAGGCGCGCGAUACAGGGUGACAGCCCCGUACACAAAAGCGCAUGUGCUGUGAGCUCGAUGAGUAGGGCGGGACACGUGGUAUCCUGUCUGAAUAUGGGGGGACCAUCCUCCAAGGCUAAAUACUCCUGACUGACCGAUAGUGAACCAGUACCGUGAGGGAAAGGCGAAAAGAACCCCGGCGAGGGGAGUGAAAAAGAACCUGAAACCGUGUACGUACAAGCAGUGGGAGCACAGGUUUACCUGUGUGACUGCGUACCUUUUGUAUAAUGGGUCAGCGACUUAUAUUCUGUAGCAAGGUUAACCGUAUAGGGGAGCCGGAGGGAAACCGAGUCUUAACCGGGCGUUAAGUUGCAGGGUAUAGACCCGAAACCCGGUGAUCUAGCCAUGGGCAGGUUGAAGGUUGGGUAACACUAACUGGAGGACCGAACCGACUAAUGUUGAAAAAUUAGCGGAUGACCUGUGGCUGGGGGUGAAAGGCCAAUCAAACCGGGAGAUAGCUGGUUCUCCCCGAAAGCU